Molecule: ribosomal RNA, 427 nt
Filed under: uncultured archaeon
Lineage: Archaea
Description: bacterial SSU rRNA
Rfam family: Archaeal small subunit ribosomal RNA
Source: RNAcentral
UACCAGCUCUCCGAGUGGUAGGGAUGAUUAUUGGGCUUAAAGCGUCCGUAGCCAGCUUAGCAAGUCUCCUGUUAAAUUCAGCGACCUAAUCGUUGAGCCGCGGGAGACACUACUAGGCUAGGAGGCGGGAGAGGCCGACGGUAUUCUCGGGGUAGGGGUGAAAUCCUAUAAUCCCAGGAGGACCACCAGUGGCGAAGGCUGUCGGCUAGAACGCGCUCGACGGUGAGGGACGAAAGCUGGGGGAGCGAACCGGAUUAGAUACCCGGGUAGUCCCAGCUGUAAACGAUGCGGGCUAGGUGUUGGGGUGGCUACGAGCCACUUCAGUGCCGCAGGGAAGCCAUUAAGCCCGCGCCUGGGGAGUACGGCCGCAAGGCUGAAACUUAAGGAAUUGGCGGGGGAGCACCACAAGGCGUGAAGCUUGCGGUUC